UACGGAGGGUGCAAACGUUGCUCGGAAUCAUUGGGCGUAAAGCGCACGUAGGCGGCUUGUUAAGUCGGAUGAGAAAGCCCUCGGCUCAACCGAGGAAGUGCAUUCGAAACUGGCAGACUUGAGUACGGGAGAGGGUUGCGGAAUUCUCGGUGUAGAGAUGAAAUUCGUAGAUAUCGGGAGGAACACCUGUGGCGAAGGCGGCAACCUGGACCGAUACUGAGGCUGAGGUGCGAAAGCGUGGGGAGCAAACAGG
This 253-nucleotide ribosomal RNA is filed under the name uncultured bacterium. RNAcentral's name for it is "partial 16S ribosomal RNA". It matches the Rfam family "Bacterial small subunit ribosomal RNA", at positions 524 to 776 of the family's 1533-position model. The record is from RNAcentral.